CAUAAAUGUGGGCUGAGCAUUGUGGGCUGCUUGUGGAACUGUGCGUGUGGAUGAUAUGUGACUUUGUGUGUGCUUGUGGGGUUGUGUGUGUAUGUGGAUUGUCAGUGGUGUUGUGCUUCUAGUGACUGUGUGUGUUUGUGUGUGGGCUGUUUGUAUUAUUUGUAUGAGAGGUAGGCUGAUUCUGCAGCUCUGUGUAUACCUAAUGGUGUGG
Pelobates cultripes (western spadefoot toad) is the source of this 211-nucleotide non-coding RNA. The record is from the annotation of a GenBank genome assembly. Lineage: Eukaryota; Metazoa; Chordata; Amphibia; Anura; Pelobatidae.